Long non-coding RNA from Bombus terrestris (buff-tailed bumblebee), 15671 nucleotides. RefSeq lists it as uncharacterized. The transcript has 5 exons. The record is from RefSeq and is a predicted model, not a curated record. Lineage: Eukaryota; Metazoa; Arthropoda; Insecta; Hymenoptera; Apidae.
UGCAAUUACUAGUUCGUUCGAACACGCUUCGUUUAUUUAAACAAAAUUUUAGUUGGUGUUUGAUUAAAUAAAUUUCUGGAUCGAACUCCUUUAUCUGAACGUGAACUAGUAUUAUGUGAACGAGAAAUCGUAAAUAAUAAGGGGAAUCACUAAGUUCUUAUUAUAUAAAUUUUAGUUAUAUGAAGUAUUUAUGAUUGUCCCGUGACAGGUUCGAAUAAACUAAAUUCACUGUGUAUUCGAUUCAAACACGGAAGUUAGUCGAGUUAGAAACAAAAGUACUGUAAUUGCGACGAAGAACAGAAUAGACGUGACAUGAAAUACAUCUGCGUGUCCCACGAUCUAAAGCCGGAUCUCGACACGUGAAUACCGGUAAUCCAGAAAAUAGAGAACGUGUUAAUUUACCCAGGAGAAUUCGCUAAACACGUGGAAUUUCUCCGUCGACUGUAAUGUUUCACGCGCCAGUUGCCAAAGAGGAACGGAAAUAGGGAACAUAAUCAGCGAUUAGUAAUUACUUUAACGGCACUUUCUCGUCCGGUUGUCCUCUCUCGUUCCGCAAGAGACAACACGGGUUCCUCGUCCAGAAGCAGCUUCACGUUCCGUCAGACUGGAAAUCCGAGGCUGGUGGCGAACGAAGGAAAGAUACAAAAUCGACGAAGGAGAAAACGAGAUACGUGGAAACGAGGUGACGUAAAAUCAAACGUCGAGCCAAGCUACGGGGUUCGUAGCGUUCCGGCUCGUAAAGUAGCGGAAGAAACAGGGAAUUCGUUUGAUUUCUUCGCUGUUCGUGCGGCAAAAAGAGCGGGAGUGCGUUGCACGUGCGCCAUCGCAAGUGGAAAUUUAGAAAAAUUGUUACUAAUCGUUGCAAACAGCGCAACUUAUGAUAUUUAUGGGAAACUUAACCCGUUGGGCCGUGAAGGCUCAACUCGGUUUCCCAAUCUCUUCGACAGUAAGUUUCUUUAUUUAGAAAUUCUGUAGUUUUUUAAUUAUUCUUUCGUUCCAGUGGAAACUAACUUGUAUCAUAUUCUCAUGCGAAAACUAAUCUGAUUUUACGUGAUUCGACUUUGCCAGUUAUUUGUGAAUCUCUUUGACGUAAUAAUUUCUUUAUUUAGGGAUUCUUUAUGCAUUUUCUAUUUCUGUUAAGAUUAAAUGAUGUUACAAUUUAAGACGCAGAGACCAGAAGUAACUUGGUUGAAAUUUAUUUGUUUUUAUCGAUUAUGUGAUUACAUUGCUGGUUAAUAGAUCUCAAAAAAUGUGUUAUACAUAAUUGCAAAAAUAUUAAAUUAGUCAGAAGUUCCGUUGUUUUCGAUCUUUGAAUGGAAGGAAAUCAAUUGUUUUGCCUGGGAUUUCUAUUAAUUUAAUCUUCAAUAUAAUUACGACUAUAUUCCGGCUUAUCUGGAAAUUUAUUUAUUCCAUUGAUAUUGAAAAUUUUUCAUUUCCCUUAUUAAUUAAUUUCCUAAUUAAUUACAUUUUCUUAUUAAAUUUCAUUGUUGUUCCUUCAGAGCCCCUACAGCCUGAUUCUCAGUGCUGAAAACUUUUUCUUUCCCAAGAGUUUUAUAAAUAUUCAGCAAACAGCCACUCUACCUAAAAAUGUCUGUGAAAGUUGUUUUCGUUAGAAAUUCUUUCUUCUUGAUAUUCCUGUAAAAUAAGACGACUAAUUUUCUCAUAGUACUAUUUAUCGAGCUUUUCAACAAUUUUUAAUAUCACUUCUUAUAUCACCUAUAUCUCACACGUUUCAACUAUCUCUGAUUUCUCUGAUAUCUCUGAUUGAUGAGAGUUAUCAUUGUAGAAAAUUGUAUAUAAAGGAUUGUGUAUAAUUGUACAAAAUCUGGCGGCGGAACUUUCAGAAAAAUAUACAGUACAUCUAGUCGUUAUAAUAUUUAGCAAGUUAUAUAAAUCAUUAUUUUUAUAGAAUAAUAUGAAAUUGCAUAAACAUCCACGGCUUAAUUUAUCGUAUUUCGCAGCGGGAUUAUGUAACGAAGAACACGAACGAGUGAUUAAACUUCAAAAGAAAAGAAACCAAAAAAAUAAAGAGAAGAAGGAACUUGAACGUGAACUUCUGGCGAGGAUUUAUUUAUCGUUCGAACAGCGACGUUCGAUCUGAAAUAUAUGAAAUUUAAUAUGCCUAACCUGCGUGCAGGUAGCACCGAUAUUACGUGUUGCAAUAGAUCGGUAUCAUCUGUUAACAAGUUGAAUCACCGACGAGAAAAUAAAUCUCGAGGUCUCGAUUUAUUCUUGUUCUUUUUUUCAUUGUAAAGGAUUUGUUUCUGGUUAUCGACGAAGGUAUGUAAUUGAUAAAUUGGCUUUUCAAUCGAGUCGCUCGAUGCAUCGUUGCGCUCACGAAUGAAGCUCGUUUCUUUGUCGCUUCGAUACACUUUAUUCAACUAGAAAAUGAUAGUAUCGGCGAUUAAACUCGGAAUAACACCGGAUGUUUUCAAGAUAACGCGCCUCGAACAUGUGGAACAACUAAUGGCUUGAAAACAAGUCGUUCGACAAUAGGGUUUUUUAAAGCUGAUAUCGAUGUUCGAUUGCAUUCAAUGACGUUUUAAAUACCAAACAUUAUUUCGUGCUAAUUCAUUGGAUUGAAAAUAAAAUGAUUUAAAUUUUCUUUUAUCAUAUCGUACACAAAGGAAUUCUGUUUUGAAUUUUAUGAAAUCUUUUAUCAAUUUACGAUAUGCUCUUGUUUAAAAUUAUAUUUUAUUAUAAUAAAACAUUAGUGAUUAUGUUUCAAUGAAAUAUAAAUGACAAGUAACACAGUUAUAUAAAUAUCGAAAUUAAAGCAAAGAUAUUAAAUCUAGAUAUAAAUACGAUUUUACGUACCUUGCAAGGACUUUGACAUAAUUUAAGUAAAUGAAGUCUGCUAUUAUAUUUCUUUUUUCUCUCCAUUUUAAUUUAAUGCUUAUUCGUAAUCGAAAUAAGUUUAUCCCGUUCUUUAUGUAACAAGUAUGUUACUCCAUCGCUCGAAGAACGACUACCCGCAAAGUACUCAAAAUUAUUGUAAUUUCUUGAUCACCUUACAAUCUCGGAGCAUCGUUCGACUACUUCAUUUAUAAGAAAACUAUAGAGUCCGGUGAUCCGCAAAAAUAACACGUAUCUAAAUUAUAGUAAUCUUUAGUCCAUUUUCAUUAAAAAAAAAAAAGAAAUAAAAUAAUCGUAACAAAGAGUAAACGAGUGAAAAACCUUCGAAAAAAGAAAUAUAAUUUUCAACACAAAUUGCUUUUAAAAAUUAUUAUAUCCUUGCCUCGGUAUCGCGUACAGCCACGAUACAUAUUCAUUAAAAUUGCAGUAUCGAUAAUUUCCAAGAAUGAGGAUAGCUUAAAAUAUGUAUUUCUAAGGCAAAUUGCUUAUAAGAAUCAUUAUACUUUAACCGCAGUUCUUCUAUAUGCUCCUAAUAAACCUUCACUUCUCUAUCUAUCUUCUACAAUUGAAUUUUGCUCGCUCUUUUCUCCAAAAUCUGUCUACCAAAAUUUUUCAAAUACAGCAACUCUUACGCAUUAAUAUUCGGAUUCCGCAGUGUUUGAGAGAAUAUUGCUUUAUACGUUUGUUUCUAAUAGCGUUAUUGAAUUGAUCGUUUCUUCAAUAUAUUACAACACUUAUUGUAGUUACUAGAGACAUAAAGUUUAUUUAUUUAAUGCACGUAGUUUCUGUAGAAUAAGCGAUAAACUAGAUAAAGGCAGAAUUUAAAAUUGCAAAGAUAUCCGAACAAGCAAGAUACAUUGACGCUAUAUAAAAUAUACGCACGCAUGUACAAUUUAUAUAUUUGAGAUAUAUAAAAUUAACAUAGAGAUGCAACUUAUCCAUUAUCCGACUAUCUCUACGAUGCUGUUUACCAUGUACGUUAAAUCAAAUUUAUCUUUCAACUAACUAAAAUGAUACAAUUAAUUCAAUAAUAUACUGUAAUAAACAAAUAUAUUACAAACCAGUAAUCUCUCAAACAGCGUGAAAUCCUAACAUUGAUACAAAUCAUUGAUACAAAUGAUACCCCAACGAAAUAAAAAAAUUCUGAAGCCACAAUCCGGCAAUCUCAAAAUCACUCUAUCAAAGCCAAAGGUAUUCUAUUGGCUAUCUAAACGAAUCUACAACCCUUCCAAACAACGUGACGAAACAGCAAUCAAAUCGUCGUUGAAACAGGCAUAAAAAUCUGGAGAAAUAAACAAACGAUGUUGGAAGAAAAAAAGGAAAAAAUGUUAAUAUAAUCCAAUGAAAUCGGAUGCAUGACCUUUUCGGUGUGGGCUCCGUGGGAGAUAAGGACACGAAGAAUGCACUCGGCCGAUUUGUGUCUCGGGGCCGAUGGCGGAAGGGGAGCUGAGUCCUGGUAGGUGCGGCCCUGACUGUCGGCUCUCUCAGCGAGCGAGUGCAGGUGCGCGGCCGCCAGUCUGUCGCCAGGGCCCCCACCAGAUCUCCGUGGACCCUUCUUCGGUCCCACUGCUCUCCUUGCCCCUGCUGGAGGACCCAGAGAUCGCGGACCCUUCCGACUGCCCCCCCCCCUCCCCGUCGCUGCUCUCCAGCCGAGGGAAGAACGAACGGGGACCCUGCGGCACCUUCUCUCUCGCUUUUUUACAAGUCAGGCCCCGUUCGCCUCUCGUCUCUCUGUCUGUUGUUCGUCCGCGUUCGCAACAGGUAGUGCGUACACGAGGGCCGCCUGUGAAACGAAACCGCUCACGCCUACCGCGCGCCUCGCGGAUUUGCUUUUUUUAAUGAAAAUUCGGACUUGGCUAACCGCUAACGCGUUCUCUCCACCUCUGUAACCGGUAACCCUUGCAUCUCGCUAAAGACGGAAUGUCGAUGUGCCUGAUCGCUAAGAUGGUGUUUAGGUCGCGGAGUUGGCGCCUAGUAAUGGCUUCAGGUGGAUUCUCGAGCUUGAUGGAUUUAUGAGGGAAAGUUGGCUCGACCCCGCAUUUUUGGAGAACAAGAAUGAUAAGGUGCAGUUGAGAUGUUUCCUUUUUUUUUCUUUUUUUUUUUUUUUAGGAUGAUGCAAAUAUAAGGUGUAAUGGAUAGGAUAAGUUGUUGGGAUAUUAAUCGACGAAUAUUCAUGUUGAAUACAUUUGGAAGGAAACGCGUGACAUUUUGUGCACCGUGUUUCUUUCACUUUUCGUGCUAGGCUACUGGGAUUUCGUAAGCUGUUUGGGUAUAUUUAAUAAGGAUAUGAUGCAUGAUGUUUUAAGCAAUUUGGCGAGGGAAGUGUUACUGCUGGUAACGGCUGUUGUUUGUUAGAAUUGUUGGGCAAUUCUUGUUUCGAUGAAAUCAAAGCCUUCCAUGUCAUUGAUAUAUUAUGUAGCUCUUAUAUGUGAAAAUAUUCAGCGGUAAUAUUUGUCAAUGGAAUUAACGUUAAUCGUCGUGAGAUUCCAAUUGGCUUUUUGACAUCCUGCAAUUUAUAUUGUUUCAUAAAGGCACUUUAAAUAUGAAUCAAGUAUAUCAUCGAUUAUCGACAUUCUUUCGAUGUCUACGAUGAUAACUACAAUCCCAACUAAAUCCCAUACAGGAAGGUUAUGAUAGAUUCACUUUUAUUGAUUGUUGAUUUUUACAUUACUCGAUAGUUAGAGAGUAUCUAUUUAAAUUGAAGAAUCUUUUAAUACGCAACAAGUAAUAAAUCCAGACAGUCUUUUAAUAAACCAACAUAAUCCACUUUAUGACGAUUAAUAUUUUCGAAACCUUUAGAAAAAUUGAAAUAUCAUGUACGUAUAUGAUUUAAAAAUCAGUAAAAAGAAGUUACGGGAUUCAGAUUAAUUUGGGAUUAAUGUAGAAUUCAUUAACAACGAUCAUUACUAAUUAAUACAGGAUCAAAUGUUAUGGGAUUAAUUAUGAUGGAAUCAUUAUUAACACAAAAUGAAAAUUGAUUCGAAUUAACUUCAAAUUUAUUGUUCUGUAAAAUAAGAAAAAUACGACCUGUACGGUUUUUAAUUGCGUCUUAGCAAAUAACUUUCGCUAUUCAGCGCAUUUUUCCCAAUUCUUUCCAUCGAUAGACGCGAUAACGCAUAAUAUAUACGUUCAACCUUAGGAUAUCUCUACAUCAGAUAUUAGAGCGAACGAGUAACUUUGUAGGCAUGUCGUUAUCAACAGGUAGCGGGACUACAGUCUAUAGCAAAAUAAUAAGACUUCCAACAGGUGGUAGAGGCUUGGUUAAAACUGCGACUAAACCGAAUAGAUUAAUGGCGCGACGGUUCGCGCGCUGACGACGAUAAAUCGAGGAGGACUCGUAAAGGUAAAACGUUGGAAGAUGUUGGGUGGCCAUGUGGCAAGGUAAGAGCCAGGACACAUCUGAACUCGUCAUGACCUGUGCGUGAGCUGAAGAAAAGGAACUGAAAGAAAAUACUGGAUUCUCCUACGCUUGAAAGCGGACCGAGUUUCGGCCAUUUGAAAUUCCUCAGUGGCUUAAGCCGCUACCUUAUAUUACCUGGCGCUCGUUCGAAGCCAGAUUUCUGGAUAAGGAAAACAAAACACACCGCUGUUUUGAUGUUCACAGACACUGAUGCUACCAAGUAUUCGCGCGAAAUAUUCACAAGGCGAGAGAUGAUUCAUAUUGUUUAAAAAAACAUAAAGGCUAAUUUUAUUAUAUUUAAUUUUGACUGAAGCGAUAAAACGACUGCUCGAUAACAGUUUCAAGCAAUAUUUACGAUUAAUAUCUUCGCUUGUAAUUAUCGAACCAAACGUGUGGAUUAUAAUUCGAAGAAAUGUGAAUCACAAAUGGAAAGAUAUCAAAGGAUGUUAAGGAAAAGGAUUUAAGACUUUAAAAGUCUUUGGUACUCGUAAAAUAUUGACACGAAACAAUAAAUAUAUCAAUCAAUAAGGAAUACAGCACGUUUAUAAUUUAUCAUUUACAAUUUAUAAUGUAAAUAUUAUAUGCAAAUAGGAGUAAGACACAUUUCAAACGCUUCUAUAAACAGGAAAUAAAAUGUUAUUCAUGUCGUAAUUUCUCAUUAAUAUCGGUGAUGACUUUUUCAUUACAAUAUUUUCCUUCACAUUUCCUUAAUCAGUUUACAUAUUUCCCGAUCAAUUUUUUUAUUCGUAUUUAUAACACGUCUCGCGAUAGUGAGUGAACCAUUCGCAAAGUUACAUUUGACCUCGAAGGGAUUGAUGUUAGGUUCUUCAUCCGAACAAGAAUUUUUUACUCUUAUACACAGCAUCCUGUAUAUAAAUAUACACACUUAAACGUAUGAUUACUUAACACUAACCUAAAUAAUAUACCACAAAGAUCAUAAGAUAAAAUAAUAAAAGGUUCAGCGUUGUAAGUUUAUUAUUAAAUAUAAUUAAAAACCAUGAACCAACUGUUCAGCGUUUAAAAAGAUUUCAGUAUACACAUUAUCUAAGACGAUUAUCAUAACGGUACGCACAAUUUCUAAAUCGCUCCUAGCACUUUCAUACACAAAAGUUACGAACUUCCUCAAACAUCGGUCUAUCAAUCAGAAAGUAAAAAAGAAAUCUGCAAUACAUCCUCAAUAACCUGUAUUAAAUCCUAACCAUCCAAUCUUAACUAAACCCUACAUCCUCCUAAACAAAAUUCAAUCAGCUUUUUAAAAUUCAACACCUGUACGAGCUUGACCAUCAUUACGGUUCCCUCGAAUUUUCCCGAGAAACCGUAAAGCCCUGAUUAUUUCCAGUAACGUGUCUUCUUAUGAUGCCACAGUAUCCCGUUCCUCCCGUAUCGAAUCGAUAAUUUUUGCGUCGUUUUUUUCCCUCUCCACUUGAAGUCACUUGGAGCAGACCUCGCUUCCACACGUGAAACAGGGUGUCCUUCGAGAACGCAACAAGAGCGCCACGCGAUGAAAAUCACGGGCCGCGAGCUUGGUUCCCUUUUUUCCACCGGUUCUGGCACACGGGAAACCGGCAGGUGUCGGUCGUCAACAUUUUUUGCGCCGGUCCAGCUGUCAACGAUCAUUUUCUUUCCUCGGCGAAUUUUCCGGCUCCGGUAUACACCACUGGUGUACAAUACUAUACAACGGGGUGAAAAGCGAUUGUCUGAGAAGACGACAUGCGAAGAGGACAUGACUCAACGUCCACUUUUACAGCCGGUUGCUCAUUUCGGUCGGUGAAACGGGUCGUCCUUCGAGGAGGUCGGACUGGCCAGAGCAGAGAAGAAAAAAACGGCUCGUUGCCUUAUGCAGUGUCAGAAACAAUGGGGGUAUCUAUGGCGUGACGAAAAGAUAUCGGUUGAUCUUUGCCAAGCGUACAUAAUGACAUUGUCAUGCAAAAAUAAACGAGCUGAGGAAAGUCCGAUGAAAACAAAACGGACUAUCCGUCGUUUAUGGUAGUCCAUGGACCAUGAUGUUUACAAUGCGACACCAUCGAAUGUCUCAGCCGGGUGACAACAUUCGAGAAUUUUCGGUUACCUGGCCUGCUCAUUCAUCGAAUUGUGUUUCAAGUAAUUGUAAAGAACUUCCAGGGAGAGUUUACGACUUUUCCAUAAAUCAUUUAUUAGGAAUGUCAACGGGAAUUGUCUGAAAAACCAAAUUGUAGGUGUAUCCGACUUUAGGACGCGGGAUACACGUAAUUUAUACUAAGUCUUUACGAAGGAUAAAAAUGUGCAGUCGUUUGAGGAAAGUUAUGCGCACAUAGCGUUUAACGAAAUCGAAGGAUCGAGAUUUUCGAGUAAUUUGGAAGGGCUAUGAAAGGAAUGAAAAGGGCAGAGCCUGCAGAAAUGCCUGUUAUGACGAUAUUUCCCCAGGCAAUGUAAUUUACGUGGCGUAUUCAAGGUUUUAAUAUACGAGUGUCUCGCAGAUGUGCAAAACCAUUUGAGCAAACGAUUCUACCUAAUUGCCCGAUGUGUUAUUUAUGAUAUUGUCAUUAUUAUAUUGGUAUUGAUUUGAAGUUCAGAUGAACGAUGAGGCUUGUUAUCGCAAAAUGAGAUCCAAAUUGCGCGUUAUAAAUAUUUGUGAAUGCGGUAGACACAGCUCAGAUGCAGCUAUGUUAAUAAUAAUUUGAGAAACAAGCUCUGUCUGCCGAUAAAUUUAACAGCUUUGUAAUAAUUGGGACGAUAAAUAAAGCACAUUUGCGCAGAAUGUAUGCACUUCCAUUUGGAAGAUAUUUUUUCAAUCUUUAUGUUACAUCACAAAUGUAGUAAUAUUAUUAGUAUUUUUUAAGAAUGAACAAAUUUUAAGUACGAAAGCUUAAGAUGAAAGAAAACGAACUAGAGACCGAUGAAUAAUUUUAGCAUUAAAAAGACAAACAAUUAGCUAACAUUAUUAUAGGGAGGAAAUAAUUUAUCGAUUAUACCUAUGAAAAUUAAUAAGAAUCAUAUUACCUAUUUAUCUAAUGUAUUCAAAAUUUGUUGUCCCAUUCUUAGCAUUAAAAACAUCAGAGCUUCAUCUUGCUGAUACUAAUCUUAAACAGAUAUACUUCUAUUAAACCUUAGCGACGAAAAAUAAUUAAAAAAUAUUAUUACUUUAAAUAAGUCGGAUUAAAUAACACUCUUACCCUAUUUCGCACGAUAUAUAAUAAAUAAAAACCAUUAAGUGUUUACAAUAAAUAUUUUCCGUUUUAAUACCUACAUAAUAAUUGGCAAGCUGGUAAUUAGUAAACUCGAAACAUAUUAUACCCACUAAUUGGCAUCCUUCAAACAUCAACCUGUUUCUUCUAUCUACAAGUACCUUAAUCUGAGAGAAUCUUAGUCUCGUAAAGAAGAAAUAAUGAUACAUAAAUCAAUAAAUAAAAGAUCUGCUUAGAGAAAGAAUGUACGAAUAAACAUGUUUCUCCAUCCAUAAAUACAAUCUACUAUAAACCCAUCGGAGUAGAAUUUCGAAGCUAAAUGAAAUAAUUGCCCGCAAUUAUGCUAGCUCAUGUGAAAGGAUGGAUCGAUCCCGUUGCAAACGCAAACAAGAUCGAGCUCGAAGGUUUCCAACAGCUUUGGCUACUGUUUAAUUAAACGUUGCCGGUUGUACGGCGUUUUCAGCGAAUUCGUCUUUUUCAACUGGCCGCGCAGUGGCAAGCCCGUAUAAUCUUUAACGAGCGAUAAGUCUCGGCCGUGGAUGGCGUGUAAUCACCAAAACGGUCAUCGUUGUCGCUUGUGACGGGGUUUCACUGCACCGCUAGUUCCCGAUUCAGAGUGCUGGUGUACCUGUGCCGCGCACCUGUACAAGCCCAGCUUUAUCGCCGUAUAACCAGCCUGCCACCUGUGCGGCAGAGAUGGUCGCACAGGUGUCUUUUAAAGCAUUUCAUUAAUUACAAAUAGGAAAGCCGCGUGCAAUCCUCGUCGAGAGCCCCAGUGUGUCUCCGCUUGGGCAAACUGGCAAUUCGCAGGACACCUGGCCGAAACAUCACGGAUUUUCUGCUGACGACCUCGACGGUCCCCCGAAACCUGCUCGUUUCCUGGUAGACUUGAUCGAAAGGUUGCAAUAAAACAACUACUGGCAGAAAGGGGGAGCGCGCGUUUAACUGCUGACGAACCAGCAGAAUUACCUUGGUACGUUAUUACCAAAAAAAAAAAGAAAAAUAGAAAGGAAAGAAAAGGAGAAGGAGAUACAAAUUGGCAAAGCAUGAUUCGAAUCGAAUUAAGCGAAGAGAAUUCCUUCUGGAACGAAUUGGAAUUAUUUCGAGGAAGAGGAAUCUUGUUGUUGGUUUCUUUGUGAGAGUUUUGGCAGUCAGGUAACAAUUUACGCAAGGGCAUCUAUACAAAUAUAACGGUACACUCGAGAAUCUCCAGGUGCUGCGGCAGCCUAACACCUGGUCGAAUAUUCGAAUUUUCUCAGGGGCCCCUACCUCGCCGAAAGUCCAAGGUUUCCAGGACCCCACUGAGUGCAGAUGUAGAUCAAAAAUGUACCUUUAAAUCCGCGUAAGGACAACGAUGUUGCAAGAACAUCUGCAGCCAGAGCGUCUCGGACUUUGAACGUUUUGUCGAGUUAUAUAACAGAGCUGCAAACGCGUCUGACGACACUUUACCGCCACGUGUGUAGUAAAUUACGCGUGUGCACGUAAGUAUGUGACAUUAGGUUCGGUUUGGAGAACGCUAUAUAAACCUGAUCGUCUUAUUGAUCGGUGUCUGGACGAACGAAGCAUCGCUUGUCACGUGUCGUGCCAAUGCGUCUUUCUUUCACCGGAACGUAUUAACGCAGCUGUGCCUCGGAGUAGAGAAAGCUGAACGCGGCAACUCGCACGGAAAUCUCCCGAGAGCCUAUUCGAAAACAAUUUAGAUUACUUGCUUUCAUAUUGGCUGUUCCCUGCAUGUUUAAGAAAAGUAAUUCUAUCGUAACUUCGAAAUUUCAAUCGUAUAAUUACCGUGUACUUUUAAAUGGCAGAAAAUUAAUUAAGGUCAGACACUUUAUUUAUUAUAUCCGGUAAACUGUUAUUUUCGUUGCGCUAAAUAUUUUUAAUCCUUAAAAUCUCAUUUUUCAAUUCUUUUUACCUUUAAAAUUUUCCAAGCUCGUUCGAUCGUCUUCUAGUUACUUCGUCACAAGCUUUGAAGAGCCAUAAUCGUAAACUUCAUAUUUUCAUUUUCAUUAUCACUUGUUGUCACUUAUCACUGCUCAUAUUUAAAUGGCUUAAGAAAUUAAUUCACGUAACAAAACACUGAACACUUUUACAGCUGUUAUAACUUGCAACUGAGUUAUAAUUGCUCUUGAUUGAUAAUAUAAAAUGCGAGAUAUCUCGUCAGCGAUAUUUUACCGCCCCUAGCGGAAAGAUACGAAAGGCGAGAUAUUUCGUCAUCCGUCUGUAACGUGUUAAGGGUUUGACAAAAGAAUUUUUCAUUCUUUGAAUCGAUUUUGUACCUUGUAACUACGUAAUUAAUUACAUUUACCUUUUCCAUUAACUUGGUUUAUGUAUUUAUUAAUCCUGUUAAAAAUUUUGUUUGCUUUUGAAAACAAAGAAUUCCCUCCUUGAAUCGUAAAUUUGCCAGUAAAUAAUUAUCAUAAAUAGAAAAUAUAACACAGUAACGUAUUGGUAAAAUACAAUAAUACAAUAAUAAAUAAAUUAAAUCAAAUUAAAAAAGAAUAAACGUAAAGGUAUAUCAUUUUUAUUACACACGAUGUUAUAGGCGAUUAAUAUUAAAAACAUCAUACAACUUUCUGUCUUUCCUAAUUAACAAAUCACAAAUAUUGCAUAAAACUUUUUUGUAACGCAAUAAGGAACAAAAAAUAACUAGUCAGAGAUAAACGGGUUAAAUGAAUGUGACAUAAUUCCAUACUUAAUCUACAACAUUAAACGUGUGACCAAGAAUCGUGAGAAACGUGACAAAUACAUAGAUUAUAGUUUGUAUUAAUCAAUACCAACCAUUUUUCCACCGACAAGAAACUCUAGUACAAAUCGACACCUGCGAUCUCACUAAAAACAGAAUAUUACGUUUUUUGAAGCAGCACAAUUACUUGCAUUGUUAAUGUAUCGUGCACAUUUUGUUCACAUUUUUGCCUGAAGUCGAAAUUAAGUCUACUUAUCGAUUAAGUAACAUAUUUUUCUGCAUAGUUAUCGAGGAUAAAAAAGAAUGACAGACCACUUUGCAAAAAAUUGCGUAAAAACUCGUCGAGAACAUUCUUAUCAAAUUGAAUGGAAACCUCGAAUAACACACACUUAACAUUCAUGAGAAAGAACAGCUUUUAAAUUGCACUAUUUCAUAAGUUUCAAACGUUCAACGUGCCGUUUGUGUCUUAAAACGAACGUAGAAUCCUAAUGUACAGUUAACUCAACUUUGACCAAAAAUUCGAGAUUUCCAUUCGAUAAUUAUUGACCUCGUAAAAUUACGAUCGAAAAAUCCCGAUCUUGAUAUUCCAUACAAAGAGGAAGACACAGAUAAAGACCGCUUGGAGAUAGUUUCCAAGAACGUUUCGAGGCCUCUGCACACCUGAGGAGGACUUACGAACGGUGUCGCCUAAGGCGUGUUCUCCAAUCUUAGCAGAAAUUCGAGCUCUCCCUCGCGGUCGUUCAACAAUAAAACAACGGCGUGGGGUCCGUUCAAAUGUACAGGUCGCGAUGGAACAAGGCAGGAACGGAAAACAGGCUCCCACGAAUCCCACGACACUCGUUUUGAGCCGUGAAGGAAAGGCUGCGGGUGUCCUGGUGGCUCUUUCCACUCAGCCAAGUGACAGUUUCGAGUUGUUAUUGUGCGCGAUCAAACGUUACAAAGAAAAGAUCGACUCGAAUGGAUAAUACGCGAAAUAAUCAUAACCUUGAGAUAAAUGGCGGAUACUUAAAUUAUUUUGUACCCCAUAACGGUCGGGUGACUGGAAUUGCCAUCGCGUACAAUCAUUUGUUUCAGAGAAAUAGUCAACUCGAAUCAAAACACGCGAAAUAAUCAUAACUUUGGGUCUAAUGGCAGAGAUAUAAAUUAUUCUGUAGUCCAUAAGAGUUAGGUGCAAUAAAAGAGAUAUAAUAUAAGCCAUACCUUUUCUAGAGUGCAGUACAGUUUGUAACUGUUAACCAUAAUACUGGAAUUCGUAAUUGGUACAAUAUGGAUGCGGGCAGAUUUAUGACCACCUGGCCAUCACACGUGUGCAACAACGGUGACGACUGUGCGCAUUCGUCAAACUUCUACCGUUAUCAUACCGCUGGCAAUAUACAGACAUACGGAUUAACAUUAUCUGCCACCUGAUUAUUCAGUUAUUGGUGAUUUAUUUUUGCAAUAUAUGCAGACACAUGUCCGCAGGGAAUAUGUAUACGGAUUAAGAUAAAAUCGUUGCCGUGCUAGAACUUGCUCUGUAUCUUACAACGUCGAUCCGUUCUACAGCGAAUGAUUAAUAAGUCGAUCCAUUUUUCUUUUAUUGCAAUUCGAUAGAAAAAGCAAAUAAUCGUUCCAGUUGAAAUUCCUUUAGUUAAAUUGAUGUUCACUUAUAAAUAAUUGUUCGCACGGAUAAUUCCUAUUGAGAAUAUCUCAAAUUCAUAAAAGAAGGCAAUGAAAAAACCACUUGUAAUCUUUAAUAAUUUUAGCGUUGCUCCCGAUAAUUUAUAUGCUUUUAAGAUAAAAUAUCACUUUUCGUGGUCGGACUAUUUUAAAACAUCGCGAUGCGUCACGAAACUAGAACGUGACACGCUAUUAUUAAUUAUUCGUAGACUGCGGAUAUUUACCUACGUAUUUAUGAAAAAUUUACAGCCGAGAAAAUGUACAGAAUGCAUAUAUAGUACUCGAUAUAAUAUUAUAUAAGGUAAGACAAAUCCCCAUUUACAUUAUUCCAUUCCUUUAAUUGCACUGAUAAAAAAGCAAAUAAAGAUUGUAGCUGAUUUCCUGAUCUUUUAAGUAAAAAAAUAUGCAUAAACAUCUGCGAUCUAAUCAUUAGUCUUGCGUAAGCAACGCCACAUAGAUCCCAAUGACUAUCCUUCAUGCUGAUAGUGCAACAUUAUCAGGAGCAACCAGGCUUCCCGUGCAAUUUAUUAACCGGCAACGAAAAACAAAAAUAACAACUUCCCUGCCAUCUCCAUGAAACUCUCGCGACACAAAUUGAGACAAACAACUGGAGUGCGCGCUCGUGUGCGCGCUUCUAUGGCUUCUAGAUCGCACGCACACAUUCAGCCGGCCUGUCUCAUACACAGCACCGGCCGACUUAUGAAUGGUAUCUGCACACGUUCCCACGUCACUGAAUGAGUCUCAGGUCUCUCACGUCCGGCAGGAUUAUCGUGCCCGGUCGCGUUCUUCGCGUAAACCGUGCGAGUCUCCUUUCACGUUUUCUCCCUGUUCUCUCGUGUCUGCUUCUGCUCUAGUUCUGCUUCGUAGGAAGAAAAAAGAGAUUUCGACGGCGCUGUAGAACGACAGCUUCAGGGAAGAGAGCAGACAAGGAAGAAGAAAGAAAAAAGCGUGCGUUGCUCUCCUAACUCUCGCUAGGUGCAUGGCGCACGGUAGCAAUUCUAGUUGCAUAACAAGUCACAUUCCGCGAGUAAGACAAUGCCAGUUUGCUUCCCGGAAGUUGGUACACGUUCAGAGACCUGAGAAAAAAUACAUGUUUAUUGCCGGUUUUUCGAUACUGUAAUUAUACGGUCUGAUGUAAGGCGCCGCUUUUCAUUUGAGAUUGUGUUGAUUAGGCUAAGACUUGUUAGGAAACUCUAGCAGCUUGUUUUAUGAUUUUACAAUGAAAUGGAUACUGAAUAUACUAUUUUAUUAAGCUUUUUCCCCGUUAACUUAUUUUACUAAGUUGAGAAAAUACGUAUAUAUUCGUGAUGCGUGUAUUUGUAUUUAUUUCUAUCGAUUAGACUGAUCCUACUGGAAAGCUUCAGAGGUUUGUUUCAAGAUUUCAUAGAAUAAAUGUCGAUCGUGUAUAUUAUUUUGCAAAGCUGAGAAGAUAUGAAUAUGUUCGUAUUUUUAUCCUAUAAUUUGACGUAAGGUAUCAAAUUUGAAUUAAUAUUUAAGAUUAAUUGAGAUUAACUAUUAACAUUAAUAUUGAUAUUGAUAUUAACUGUAUGAGUAAUAUACUAUGUACAUAUAUUAAUACACAAGGCUGAGAAAAAACAUAUUUGUGGUUGGUCUCUCGAUCCCACAACUAACGUGAUGCAAGAUGCUAUUUUUCAUUUGCAUUAGUCGAUAUUGAUCAGGCUUAUCUUAAUAAGAAUCUUCAGAAGUUUGUUUGAAGAUUUCAUAGAAUGAAUACUGAUCGAACAUAUUGUUUUACAAAGAUGAGAAAGUACGUAUUCGCAGUGUUCGUAUCUUUAUUCUAUAAUUAAUUAAUUAAUUUAAUACAGCCGGCCAAAUUUAGUUGAAUUUACAUUUAAUAUUAGGGUAGACUUCAGACACUUGAGACGUUUGUUUUAUGAUACAGGAAUGCUAA